This 2044-nucleotide ribosomal RNA is filed under the name human gut metagenome. RNAcentral describes it as "bacterial LSU rRNA". It matches the Rfam family "Bacterial large subunit ribosomal RNA", at positions 508 to 2573 of the family's 2925-position model. The record is from RNAcentral.
GGAAAGGUGAAAAGAACCCCGAACAGGGGAGUGAAAUAGAACCUGAAACCAUACGCUUACAACCGGUCGGAGCAGCUUCGUGCUGUGACGGCGUGCCUAUUGAAUAAUGAGCCUACGAGUUACUAAUCACUAGCGAGGUUAAGUGCAAGGAUGCACGGAGCCGAAGCGAAAGCGAGUCUGAACAGGGCGUUUAGUUAGUGGUUGUAGACGCGAAACCUUGCGAUCUACCCUUGAGCAGGUUGAAGGUUGGGUAAAACCAACUGGAGGACCGAACGAAUAAGCGUUGAAAAGCUUCUCGAUGACUUGAGGGUAGGGGUGAAAGGCUAAUCAAGCUGGGAAAUAGCUCGUACUCCCCGAAAUGCCUUUUGGGGCAGCGUUGUAAUAAAGAGUCUACUGGAGGUAGAGCUACUGAUUGGAUGCGGGGGCUUCACCGCCUACCAAAUCCUGACAAACUCCGAAUGCCAGUAGUAUGAUUUACAGCAGUGAGUGACUGGGUGCUAAUGUCCAGUCGCAAAAGAGGAACAACUCAGACCAGCAACUAAGGUCCCGAAGAAUAUGCUAAGUUGAUCUAACGAUGUUUUGUUGCAGAGACAGCUAGGAUGUUAGCUUGGAAGCAGCUAUUCAUUCAAAGAGUGCGUAACAGCUCACUAGUCGAGCGACAGAGCGUGGAUAAUAAACGGGCAUCAAGCAUAUCACCGAAGUUCUGGGCGCGAGAGCGCGGUAGGGGAGCAUUCCAUUCAGCGUCGAAGCAGUUUCGUGAGGAAUUGUGGAGCGUAUGGAAAAGCAAAUGUAGGCAUGAGUAACGAUAAUGCGGGAGAGUAACCCGCACACCGCAAGACCAAGGUUUCCUGAUCAACGCUAAUCGGAUCAGGGUUAGUCGGGUCCUAAGGGUAAGCCGAACGGCGAUCUCGAUGGAUAAUCGGUUAAUAUUCCGAUACUAACAUAUACCUCGAUGGAGAGACGAAGGAACGUAAGUGCCGCCACCUGACGGAAUAGGUGGUUAAAGGGCGUAGGUAUAGGGGCAGAUUAAGAGUUAGUCCUUGCUGAAACCUGACAGUACAGAGAGCCUACGGGCAAUUUGAUAGAGCACCCAAGUCGACUUCCGAGAAAAUCUUCUAAGUUAUAGUAUAUGUUACCCGUACCGUAAACCGACACAGGUGGUCGAGGAGAGUAUCCUAAGGUGCUCGAGUGAAUCACGGUUAAGGAACUAGGCAAAUUAACCCCGUAACUUCGGGAAAAGGGGUCCCUAUGAAAGUAGGGCGCAGCGAAGAGGUCCAGGCGACUGUUUAUCAAAAACACAGGGCUCUGCAAAUUCGAAAGAAGACGUAUAGGGCCUGACACCUGCCCGGUGCUGGAAGGUUAAGAGGGGAUGUCAUCGCAAGAGAAGCAUUGAAUCGAAGCCCCAGUAAACGGCGGCCGUAACUAUAACGGUCCUAAGGUAGCGAAAUUCCUUGUCGGGUAAGUUCCGACCUGCACGAAUGGUGUAACGAUCUGGACACUGUCUCAACCGUGAGCUCGGUGAAAUUGUAGUCCCGGUGAUGAUGCCGGGUACCCGCAACGGGACGAAAAGACCCCGUGAACCUUUACUAUAGCUUAACGCUGAAUUUGGGUACACAAUGUGUAGGAUAGGCCGGAGGCUUUGAAGCGGGCACGCCAGUGUUCGUGGAGCCGACGUUGAAAUACGGCCCUUUGUGUAUUUGAGUUCUAACCCUGCGAAGGGGACACCGUUUGGUGGGUAGUUUGACUGGGGUGGUCGCCUCCAAAAGCGUAACGGAGGCUUCCCAAGGUACCCUCAGCACGAAUGGUAACCGUGCGCGGAGUGCAAUAGCAUAAGGGUGCUUGACUGUGAGACAUACAAGUCGACCAGGUACGAAAGUAGGGUAUAGUGAUCCGGUGGUUCUGCGUGGACUGGCCAUCGCUCAAAGGAUAAAAGGUACUCCGGGGAUAACAGGCUGAUCGCCGCCAAGAGCUCAUAUCGACGCGGCGGUUUGGCACCUCGAUGUCGGCUCGUCACAUCCUGGGGCUGGAGAAGGUCCCAAGGGUU